Molecule: non-coding RNA, 6471 nt
Organism: Arachis ipaensis
Lineage: Eukaryota; Viridiplantae; Streptophyta; Magnoliopsida; Fabales; Fabaceae
Source: RefSeq, a predicted model, not a curated record
UGGCUCCCUAGCACUACUCCUUAUUUAAAUCCCUAGUUGGCCCAGAUAUUUUCUCAUGAACUCGAAACUCCUAAGCAUCGCGCUAUCUCUCUCUCUCUCUCUCUCUCCAUCUGAUUCGCCAUUCGUAUGAGAAUUCUCGGAACCAGAUCUCGCAUUCUUCUUCAUGCCUUAUUUCAUUGUGAGAGAGUCUGCGAUCUUCUCCGUGAAGCUCGCUUCCGUACUGCAUUAUCGGUUUCUUUCGCAACUCACAGAUUCUGCGUUUCGUCCGAAUCACGUUAGCGGAAGUAUCACCGAUUGUUUUUCAUUCAGUUCGAACAACAGCAAGUUCUUCAGGUUGUAAUUGCGUUUGGUGGCUGAGAAGCUGCGGGAAAAUAAAGGAUUUGUGAUAGUUUUUAUUCUGAUGUGCUGAAAAUAUUAGACUUGAUGAAAAAAAAAAAAACCUACAAAAAGUUUAAUCCUAUGUUACAAAAGAAAUACAGGAGGGUAAGGCUCACAGUAAUUCUUUUGAAGAUAUUCCUCUGAGAUGUUGAGGAUUGACAGGCUUCGUAUUAUUCUCCUCCUAAGGCAAGUUUAGUCUCUUUGCUUGUGAGGUAAUACUGCAUGUAUCUAUUGUCCCUGGAUCCGAUGAGGCGGAAGUCUCAUACACGUCGCUGUCAAUUUUUGGGGAUAAUUUUUGCAGGCUUUACGUAUAAUUUGUGCAGCCUUGUUGGAGCAAUGGAUGCAGUUUGAUUCAACACAAUGGAUCAUAAAUCCCAAAAAGAGUUUGGUAUUGCAUCUUGUACACUUGGAUUGAGAGUUCAUCACCAAGGCUAUUUGGCAAUGAGCAGAUGAUCCCGCAAUAACAUGUUCUUACUAGAGAGAGAAAACAUCCUGGCAUAGCAUUUGUCUAUUUAAACCUUUCUUCUAGAUGCAUGUUUUUAACAGUAGAGAGAAAGGGUCUGGUAUGGAGGUAAACAUCAUAUCUUGAGUGUUCUUUCUUUUUAACAAUAAGAAGUCUGUAAACCCUUCGAAUUAAUUUUUAUCACUCAACCAUAGUCUUUAACAUCACCCCUUUCACAGUUGUGUUCACAUUUACAAAUAACUUUGUCAAAAAAAAAAUGUGUGUCACUGUGGUCAACAAGCUUUAACACCAUGUAAAUCGUACAAGCUUACAACUGCUUUAUAGAAGGAGCCCACUUUCUGAUUCAUUUUCCCUCAAAGGCACUAGAUUGGGAUAUAGAGAGGGUACAAAUUGAAAAAUUAGAAAAACUAUAGGAUUUUUGUUUCAAGAUAUUUUUUCUUUUUGGUGACAAAAACUAUUUUGUUAGAAUAAUCACUAGGGAAUAAGUUUCGUUUUUUAAGUCUCAAAAAAUUAUUCGUAGACAUUAGUUUUUCUUUAAAAUAUCAAAUUCUAAUGGUUUAGUAAGAUUUUAUUCUCACUAUGGAGGUUGAGGAUAACAUAUUUCUAUGACAAAGGAAUAAGAACUAUUAAGUAAAGAUAUUAAUAUGUCUCUUACUUUAAUUUAUUAAUAAUAAGUAAUAAUAUGUAUUUUGAAGUAUGUUAAGAAUUAUCACGUGAUCCUAGAAUAUGCCAUAAAUCAAAUGCAUUUAUAAUUUAUUCCUAGGAAAAUGGCAUAAACAAUUACAGGAAUUUUUACUGUAAAAGAUUCAAAUUUUUUACAAUACAUAGGAGUAACAUGUUUUUAAGUAUAAUAAUAUUUCUUCGAAUAUAGUUCUAGGGAAACCUUAAAACAGAAGUUCUAUUAGGAGGCAAGUAUAUCCCCUAGUCUAACUUGAUCUUUAGUCAAGUUAUGAUUUAGUUGGGUUUGAGUUCAAAGAAAUGAUGCUGUGAGAAGAUUGGGCAGAUUUAAGUAUCAUUAAAACCUUUGUACCUUACAUGUUUAACAUUUGGCAUAUUUAAGUAUCACUCUGCAUUUCUUUGCGUUGAAAUAGCUAUGGAGAAGUAGUAAAUAUAAUCCUCUACCAAAAACAUGUCCACUGUAAAAAAGAAAUGCAUUUUUUUGCUGAUGCCACAGCAUUUUACACUCCUUGUUUGUGAGAAGGCCUUUGUAAUUUUGAAAGGGUUGCAGACAACAUCGUAAAAGAAACCUUUUAUCCUAUCAAUUGGGUUUUACAUGGACAUUUAUGAACUUAUAUUUAAAAUAAAUACAUGUUGCACAGAAAAGAAUGUACCGGUGACUUUCUUGCAAGUUCUGCAAUUGUUGCCUUAACAUUGCUGCCUCCCUUUGCCAAAACUAGAAAAUAAUAACCAAUAAAAAAGGUCUUAGAUUUUAAAGGAGAAAAAAUCACUAGAUACACAUGCUUAUGCCAUGGUGUACCCGUUCAUUAACUAUAUAUAUGUGAUGCAAAUGGUCAGGUGAUUUGAUUAAAAUCUGCAUAAAUAAAAACAAUAAUAAAAAAAGAUGAAAAAAAGAUUAAUUAUUGAUGUGGAAACUUCACAAUGAUAUAGUAAAUUGUCAUAUGAUUGGCUUAUUUGAUUGAAAAUGUAUAUUAUUGAGAUGAGAUUGUGAUUGUGAUUAAUUGUUCUUUAUGAAAAUGAGGUGCCUCUGGGUGUAAGGUGGUGCUUGUUUGGCCUUGAUUUUGGACAGUGAUAAUAUUUGGACAUGCAACUUUUGUCAGAUAGAACUAGCCACUUGAAUGUAUCUAUUUGAUGUGAAACUGAUGAAUUUGACACUUGAUAGCCAGUGACUACUGUGACUAACAACUUUUAACUAACUCAGUCAUUGUAAAGAGUGAAAUACCCCGUGUAUCAUGCUAGACAAGCUGCCCUCUCCCCUAUACUUCCUCUUGUAGACUCUUUCCUGAUCAUAAUCACAAAUAUCUCAUUUUGAUUCAUUCUCUCUAAUCUUAAUAUUCUCUGAAAUCUUUAUAUUCUUGUAUUUGUUACUUGAACAAUCGUCUUUUCUUCCUUUUCCAUAUUUUUCUUCAACAUAGUGUCAAAGUGGUAACAUCAACUAAGACCUAAUCAUAUAACUAUUUUUGAGUUACUAAAAGAUGGAUCAUCUUUCUUUGUAGCCUCCUGUUUUCACAUUUCUGUGAUUUCUGUUUAUAUCUACGUCUUGCAUUUUCCUGCUUGCAAUCAUAUUUAACUCUUUUCCAGCCCAAUUUCCCUUUUAGAUUGAUUGAAAGAUUGGUUAGCUUUGUUUCAUGAUAUUUAUUAUAUCUGGUGGGUUUUCUUAUCCUUUUUAAUUCCUCAUCUUAAUGAAUUUAAUAAAAAAAAAAGUUUCCAACUAACUUCCCAUUCCUUUGAUUUCUUAUCAAAAUUUUUAGCUUGGUUGGAAGUUGGAACUCAUGCUUAGCUCACUUAAUCUGUUGUUGUCACUUUCUUUCAAAACAAGCAUUGAUUACCUAGAUUUUGAAAAAAUAAUUGAUGGAAAGGCAACCUGAACUAUACAUACCAAUGUUCAAGCUGCUAGUUGCCAUGUCUUAGGUCACCUUCACCAAAGAAUGUUUUUCUAGCCAAGCUAACUGCCUUUGGCUUGUUUUUGAUAGUUUGGCUAAUUUAUCCUUCCUUGGGUUCCCUUCAUCUGUUGUUCCCUCUCUUAGCAUUGGUCAUCACCUGAUCUGUUCCAACUUUUUCGCAUUCUGUUUGUCUGAACUGUCCCUGUACACUCUGUUUGGACUUGUAUUUUGGCAUGGAAUACUGUAUCUUUGGUGCUAUUUGGAUCUGCUUCCCUUUGAAUGGCUGUUUGUCUGUUAGGAUGUUCUCUUAGGUUUUAAGUCAUUGUUCUAAUGAUUUGAUUUGUUUAAGGAGUGCUUACUUGUAAUGAGCUGAGGAAUGAAGUAUGCUUCUACUUAAGGUUCAUUGAUUUAUUUUAAUUCUUGCUUUGAUUACUUGUCAUAUUGGGUUAAACUUAUAAUCUAUUUGUAUUGUGCUAGAACUUGUCCGAUAUUUUAAUUCUCUCUCUCUCUCUCUCUCUCUCUCUCUCUCUCUCUCUCUCUCUCUCUCUCCUUAUAGUUUUUUAAUGUAAAGAAUUGGAUCAAAGCUGCAGAUUCAACAAGGAUUUGACGCCUCUUAUUAAUGAAGAUUGUGCACUUUAUCUUGAAAUGUAAUAUAUCUCGUGCAUUUUAGGAGCCAAAUCCUUCAAGAACACGAGUAAUAUGGAUAUAGUGGUGAAUGAUAAGAUUGGAGUUAGUGCCCUCUGUAUAAAUUCGACCCCUUCAUCACUUUUGAUUGCUUUGUACAAAGUCGUUUAAAUACUUUCUGUGUCGUUAUGGAUUGUGAAAUAAUUCACAGGAUAUCUGGCCAACUUUAAUCCAUUUGAAAUUCUGUGGUAAUUGUUUACUGCUGAGCUUCAUAAUUAGGUUAGUUGGAAUAUGUAGAAUUAGGAACGCAAUGGUCUCAGUUAUUCUAUUUUUGUUUAUGACCUUUACUGUUGGUUUUGGUUGUUGGGAAAUGUUUCCCUGAGGUCGUUAACAAUGAUGAUUUCAUGACAGUUAUUUGCAGUGAGAAGGAGAUUAUUUGGUCUGUAAGAUGCACAUUAUUUUGGUUAUCCAAGAUCUAGUGAGAGAGCAGAGGUUUGCUUGUUUUGUCUGGGCUUUUUCAUGUUUUCAGUAGUUAGUAGGAACGGUAUGGUCAAAGAUUUGCUUAUCUUCAAGUCUUGGUUUGUUGAAUAGUGCCCUUAUGCAUGCAGAGAGAUGCACAGCCCUUGAUUUAUUUGAGGAUCAUCUGGCCUAGCGAUGGUUAGGUAUUCCUGAGGGUUUUGAGUUUGUUGACCUUAAUGCUGUGUGUGGUUCAAGUAUUACUUUGUUAUUCAGAUUCCAUUUCCAUGGAAAUCAAAUAUACCCAUGAGGAAGGUGGGAAUUGAAAAUGAUGGUAUUUUGAUUUCCUGGAAUCAAACUUACCUGAAAAUAGCUUUUCAAACUUUGAACCAAACAUGAAAAUAUGAUAUUCCCAUCUUAAAAUUCCUAGAAAUUAUUUAUAAUUCCCCCAACCACACACACCCUAAGUGUGCAGGGAUUCCUACUUCCUAUGGUAUACUUUCUUUGCUUACAAUAAAGGUGAGUUCUUUUCCCUAUUAAAACUACAUUAAUAUGCUAUUGAUGUUUUUCACCUACAGUUGGUUAUUGUGUAUGGGAAGAUACCAUUCAUUUUGGUUUGUCAAUUUAUCAAAUCCAUGAUUGUGAGUUCCCUAGAAUCCAUAUUCAGACUUUGCAUUACUAGACAAUGGAAGGAAACAAAUUAAUUCAUUUCAGGGACUUCUUUUGAAGUUCCUCAAGGAUGAUUCUUACCAGCUAGUGGAUGGCUGAACCGAACCAUGCUUUGUUUAAGAUGCCUGAAUAGCUCUUGCUUUCUAGAAAGCCUAAUUUCAGAGUCAAAUCAUUCAUAAUAGGAAUAUGAUGGUUAAUGUAUGCAAAAUAACUUACUCAUCAAUAGAUUUGAGUAUGUUGAAUCAGCUAUGAUGCUUUGUUCUGCAGGAUAUAGAGCUAGGUGAUUUUAGUCUCAAGUUCCUUGACUAUGCUUCCCCAAUCAAUAGAUUCCUUGUACCUAUAUAUCAAGAUAAACGAACUAAUUUUUAAUGGAAUUAAUUUUGGAACUUGUGCAUCACCAACGUAGCUUUGGUAUUUCAGAUGACUUUUGCUAUGCAUGUAUUUUCCACCUUCUGCUAACAAAUAUGAUUUCUAGAUCAGGCCAUUGCUUGUAAUGAUUUGAAUUGCGGCCUGCUCCUAAAGAAGAACAACUCAUCUGGUUACUGAUGUGGUGCUCAGGCAGCAUCUACCAAUAGGAUUUGAAGCAUAACUGCUGAACAUAGCUUAGUCCUGGUGAACUCAUUAUUUUCAGUUGAUUGGAAGGACUGAAUGAUGUAGAGACAGUCAUCAAAGAAAAAGUCCAAAGGAACACUGCCAUUUUUGUGACAGUAGUUCUUAAAUGUGCCUUUUUCUGUUGUGGAUUAUUGUUUCCUGAAAAAAUUGGGGAAAUCAUUAAUAUUCUUUUCUUUGUCUUUUGAAUCUAUUUCUUACAUCUGAUGCAUUCUUUUGUUAUGUUUUCUGGUAGAUCAUAGACCUUUUGGGUGGCAGGAUGGCUUGUGCCCUUGUUAUGGUACAAUACUAAAAGAGAUUCUCAUUUAGGUACACAAACAUGGCAGCUAUAUUCUGAAAGGCCCUGUUGAGUUCCUUCCAGUUGUCUCAUUUACGAGAUAUUACUGUUCAAUUUUUAGGUGUUCAAUUGAUUGGGAUACUUUGUUGCAUUCUAUGUAUAUGAGAGAUUCUCCUAGCACUGCCAUGGGAGUUUCUCUGCCAUAGUACUAGCUAGUGUGGCAAAUGGCAAUGCAACAUCCCAUUGCCAUAGCUGCCAGGUAUUUGACAUAUAACUUGCACGAUAUUGAAAAUGGUGAGCUAACAAGAGCCUCUCUUGUUUCCCCAUAUUCUUUCUUUUUGGGUUCAACAUAAACCCAAAAGAACGCAAUUGAAAAAAGGUCUGCAGUGAUUUCAAUUAGUGGAUCUCUUUUACUUUGGUUUCUUAGUGUUUUU